AAUGAAGUGCCUGAUGAAAAGGAUUAUUUUGAUGGAAUAACAAUGGUUAAACACCCUUCAUUA
This 63-nucleotide transfer RNA is filed under the name Colpocephalum griffoneae. Its description in RNAcentral is "tRNA-Ile". Lineage: Eukaryota; Metazoa; Arthropoda; Insecta; Psocodea; Menoponidae. The record is from RNAcentral.